UGUUACUACUAAAUGUGCAUAAAUUGUGUUGUAAACUGUGUCUCAGGGCAGUAUUAGCGCUUCAAAGGACCUGCAGAAGGAGUUUGCCAACAUCGAAAAGAAGAAAGAACAACUUGCUGAUUAUCUGUGUGAAGACCGAAAAAAACUAUCCUUGGAAGAUCUAUUUAUCACAAUGAAAACCUUCAGGGAGCUCUUCCUCAAGGCCUUACAGGAAAAUCAAGAAAGAAAAGAGCAAGCUGCAAAGUCUGAGAAAAGGAAGAAACAACUUAAAGGUGAAGAAGCAAAGAGACCAAAGGGAGAGUAUGGAAAUAUCAGUACAUCUAACAAAAACUAAUCCUGGAUUUAUUGACCUGUCUUUUGCUAAUCAGGAGGAAUUUAUCUGUUUAGCUAUGGAUGAUGUAACACAAUGACAGUGAUUUAGCAAUGGUUGGCGUAGCUGUCAAGCUGACAGUGAAAAAUACUGUAAGAUAGGAUAGUAGGUCAUCAAUUUUCAAGUUCAUGUGAAUGUUCAGAAGAGAUCAUGAUAGAGAUGUUAGAAAAAAUAUCACUUCCAAAGAGCAAGUUACUAGCAUUUUGCUAAGAGGUGGAUUGCUCCGAAUAGUUGUUUGCAGGCUUCUAGGUACGUAGAAAGGUUCCAUGGUUCUGAACUUUAAGCUGCCUUGUGGCACUGUGGGAGGCAAGUUGAGUCACGUGUUACUGUUACCACAGUUUUUUGCUCUUCUCUGAUUAGAGUUCUGAUUCCUUAAAGCGGUUUUGUGUGUGCUUAACUGAGAGUCUGCGCUUUGCUGAAGAAUGGCAGACUGACAUAAAAGUUUUUACCAUGCAGGGCCUCGCUGGGUGUGAAGCACUUCUGGUGUUAACAUUUGCGUGCGUACAUUUUAGAGUUCCACUUUGGCAAAUACCUGACACUCGCUUUUCAUGAAGAUUUGUGUCGAAAACAUUUAGUUACGAUUCUUGAUCCUUCAGAGAACAAUUGCCGGAAAGGCAUUAACUGUGAGUGGAGUUUAUGCAAAUAUUGCAUUGGUUGCUCACCCCUUGGAAGGCUUGUGCUUGUUUCUCAUUGUCACUGUUGUCUAAAUAAAUGGUCUUCUUUUAGCCUCUGUUUCA
RNAcentral lists this long non-coding RNA (1107 nucleotides) under Dromaius novaehollandiae (emu). Its description in RNAcentral is "lncRNA (ENSDNVG00000010792.1)". Lineage: Eukaryota; Metazoa; Chordata; Aves; Casuariiformes; Dromaiidae. The record is from RNAcentral.